AUGACGCCCUCAAUCCUCGCCCUCACCUCAUCCGCGAACACCGCGCCACGGUCCCCGAUAGGCACGCCGACGCGCCACUCCCGCACGACGAGCCGCCGGUUAGUGAACUGGUCGGUGAGCAGCGGGAAGCAGAGCAUGGGCACUCCGGCCCACACGCUCUCCAGGACGGAGUUCCACCCGCAGUGCGUGAGGAAGCCACCCAGCGCGGCGUGGGAGAGGACCUCCACCUGGCAGCACCACGGCACCACCAGCCCGCGCCCGGCGGACGCGAACCCCUCGGGCAGCGGGUCCAGGUCGUCAGAGCUGACGAUGUCCGGCCGCAUCACCCACAGGAACCUCGCGCCGCUGGCCAGGACUCCUCCCGCGAUCUCAUGCAGCUCCUGCUUUGUGACGUGCGCGUAG
RNAcentral lists this ribosomal RNA (402 nucleotides) under Triticum aestivum (bread wheat). RNAcentral's name for it is "partial small subunit ribosomal RNA". The record is from RNAcentral. Lineage: Eukaryota; Viridiplantae; Streptophyta; Magnoliopsida; Poales; Poaceae.